CCUCCUUUAUCCACAGUUUCACUUUCUGAGACUGCAGUUACCAAGGCAGGCCAACCUCAGGCCUAAAGCAGAUGAUCCUUCUCCUGAUGUAUAGUCAGGUCAAUUGUCUAGUGCCACAUCACAAUACAAACAUUAUCCACUUCACUUCAAGUCAUCACGUGGGCAUUUUACCAUCUCACAGCCUCACAAAAAGGCAGAUAAACAGAAACCAAUGGCAGCAGUACUGCUUAAAAUUGCCUAAGCGGGAAGCAAAAAGGGAAGUAAUCAUAAAGACAGCAAACCUGGGUGCCUCCUGGGAUUCAAGAGCAGGACCCGGACAAAGUCUCUGGAAGGACUGAGUUGGUGAUUCAUCAGCAAGCAGGUGCCUUUGGAACAUCCAUGUGUCAACAUAAAGUUUGCUGUUGUAAAUGUUUGUCUGAAACUGAAGCUGUUGUAAAUGUUUGUCUGAAACUCAUGAAAGAGGUGCAAAAAAGGUGGUUUUAUUAAAGCAUGAAGACAAGAUCCAUGGGCAGAAAGAGCUGCUAAACCAAACAUAUUUUGCAGUUACAGAAACUGAAGAAUGCUUCAGAUAAGUAAGCUGAGAAAUUAUUCGGCAGUGAUUGGUGGUAGAGUGUAAGGUGCACGCAACCAUAUAUGCCUGUCAGUGCUCUCAAGGAUACCGUGAAAAUUCUGAGGGUUGUGGGCAAAUGAGAUAAAAGGUCAUGCUGUUUCUCCAGUGUUGCUUCUGCCUCUGACAUAAGGAAUAAAUCAAUAUGGGAGUCCCAGACAGUUCAGGAGCUGCAGGCUUCAUGCAGACAUGGCCAAGUCUAAGAACUGUACCAUAGACAACCAGUCACAAAAAUGGCACAGAAACAGCAUUUUAUAAAACCCUGGUCACAAAGAUCAGAAUCUCUUAAGAGGAUAGACACUGAGUUCCUGAGGAGCAUGUUCUUUGCCAGGAAGCAUAACAAGAAGAGCCUGAAGAAGGUGCAGGACAACUCCACCAAGGCCGUGAGAGCAUGUGCUGAGGCUGUGAAGGCCCUAGUCAAGCCCAAAGAGAUCAGACCCAGCAUACUAAAUGGCUGUAGGUGUAAGCUCAGUCAACUUGCCUACAUUGCUCACCCCAAGCUUAGGAAACGUGUGGGUGCUGUAUUGCCAAGGGUCUCAAACUUUGGCCUCAACCAGCCAAAGGCCAAGGCUCUAACCAAGGCCCAGGCUAUGCCUGUGGCUCAGGUUCCCAAAGGUGCUCCCAAUCCCCCAUAAAGGCUCUAGUGUAGACGCUUGUGUCUGCCAAUGUGAGGAUACGAGUUCUGGUGUUACACCCACCCCCUCCCUGGGCUUCUGCUUGCGUGGGGCUAGUAUCCUGUGCUAUUUGUACAAAGAAACAUGAGACAGGAUCUGU
Mustela erminea (ermine) is the source of this 1381-nucleotide long non-coding RNA. RefSeq lists it as uncharacterized. The transcript has 5 exons. The record is from RefSeq and is a predicted model, not a curated record. NCBI's taxonomy places the organism in Eukaryota, Metazoa, Chordata, Mammalia, Carnivora, Mustelidae.